RNAcentral lists this ribosomal RNA (825 nucleotides) under uncultured Candidatus Saccharibacteria bacterium. RNAcentral's name for it is "bacterial SSU rRNA". It matches the Rfam family "Bacterial small subunit ribosomal RNA", at positions 312 to 1167 of the family's 1533-position model. Lineage: Bacteria; Candidatus Saccharimonadota. The record is from RNAcentral.
ACUGGAACUGAGACACGGUCCAGACUCCUACGGGAGGCAGCAGUAAGGAAUCUUCCACAAUGGGCGAAAGCCUGAUGGAGCAACGCCGCGUGCAGGAUGAAGGCCUUCGGGUUGUAAACUGCUUUUAUGAGUGAAGAAUAUGACGGUAACUCAUGAAUAAGCACCGGCUAACUACGUGCCAGCAGCCGCGGUCAUACGUAGGGUGCAAGCAUUAUCCGGAGUGACUGGGCGUAAAGAGUUGCGUAGGUGGUUAUGUAAGUGAAUAGUGAAACCUGGUGGCUCAACCAUACAGACUAUUAUUCAAACUGCAUAACUCGAGAGUGGUAGAGGUAACUGGAAUUUCUUGUGUAGGAGUGAAAUCCGUAGAUAUAAGAAGGAACACCAAUGGCGUAGGCAGGUUACUGGACCAUUUCUGACACUAAGGCACGAAAGCGUGGGGAGCGAACCGGAUUAGAUACCCGGGUAGUCCACGCCGUAAACGAUGGAUACUAGCUGUUGGAGGUAUCGACCCCUUCAGUAGCGAAGCUAACGCGUUAAGUAUCCCGCCUGUGGAGUACGGUCGCAAGACUAAAACAUAAAGGAAUUGACGGGGAUCAGCACAAGCGGUGGAUCGUGUUCUUUAAUUCGAUGAUAAACGAAGAACCUUACCAGGGCUUGACAUCCAGGGAAGCACUACGAAAGUAGAGUGUGCCUUUUGGAACCCUGUGACAGGUGUUGCAUGGCCGUCGUCAGCUCGUGUCGUGAGAUGUUUGGUUAAGUCCAUCAACGAGCGCAACCCUUGUGAAUAGUUGUAUUUUUCUAUUCAAACUGCCCCGGCAACGGGGA